GCCACAUUUCCCAAUUUUUUUGGCCAUUUUUUUCCUCUGACAGCAUUUUUAGGACCCGUGUCCCCCUGAACACAUGGAGGGAUGGAGCAAUUGAAUGUCAUGCCCUGAUUUCACAGAUGGGGGCAGGGAGGCUCAGCAAGGAAAGUCAGGUGGAGCAGAGACCCAUUCCCUGCCCCUGCCUUGGGGCUCUUUUCGAAACUCUGCCCUGCUCACAUCUGCCCCAAGACACUCUGCCUCCAUGAAAGUGCAGGUUAUUUUACAGUUUGGAGGUGACACUGGACCCCUUGGAAAUCAGAGAAUGUGCACUUUCUUGGCAAAAUAUCCAAGGUAAGGGAGAGUAUAAAUGUGAAUGAGAAUGCUGAGUGUCGGAAGACAUUUGUUUUUUGUUUACAUCUAGGACCAGACCAGAGGGAGUGAGGUCUAUCUAUCCCACGAAGAAACUGAGAUGCAGCUUAUGAAAUAGAGGCUGACAAUGGCUCACCCACCUCCUUUGUAAGAGCCUGGUGUGUGCUACAGGAGCAUGGCCCAUAUACGUGUCAGGUUGAAGGACAACUCAGGAGCUGUCCAAGGGCUCAACUUGGCCCCACUUGCCCCAUCUGGCAGCCUGGACCGAGCAUUGUUCAUUGAGUCCCACACCCACAUGGCCCCAGAGUCAAACCGCCUUUCAUGCUGAAGAAUGGAACUGACACUCCCAGCAACAUCUCCCCCAACCAUGCCCAUCUGUUAAUCCAACUUAAAAA
This 740-nucleotide long non-coding RNA is filed under the name Homo sapiens (human). RNAcentral describes it as "HSALNT0222139". Lineage: Eukaryota; Metazoa; Chordata; Mammalia; Primates; Hominidae. The record is from RNAcentral.